AAUAACCUUAUUUUUUGUUUUUCCAUGUCCAACGUUUGAUCAUUCGUCUUAUUUAAAAAAUUUUUGCGAUUAAUAUUUUUAUUGUUACUAGAUGAUAAAAUAUGCAUAGUACUUUAUACGUGACUAAUUUUUUUAAAGUUUUUUAUAAAUUUUUCAAAUAAGACGAAUAGUCAAAAGUUGGAUACGGAAAAACGAAAAGUGAGGUUAUU
Non-coding RNA from Oryza brachyantha (malo sina), 209 nucleotides. The record is from Rfam. NCBI's taxonomy places the organism in Eukaryota, Viridiplantae, Streptophyta, Magnoliopsida, Poales, Poaceae.